UUUUAAGGGAUAGGGCUAAAAAAUAUUUUAGCAAAUCAAGUCCUCAACUUCUUCCAUUUCUAUGUAUAGGUCUUUACCUCACAAAAACUACUACAAGCACCAAGCUCCCUGAUGGAAAGGAGCACCGUGCAUCAAGUCACCAGGGUGGUCCAUUCAAGCUGCAGAUUUGUUUGUCAUCCUUGUACAACAGUCUCCUCCUCCACUGCCACUACAGGGAAGUGCAUCACAUGUCAGGUGAGAGUUUUGCCAUGCUCUCUCUUUUCCAUC
Molecule: long non-coding RNA, 267 nt
Filed under: Saimiri boliviensis boliviensis (Bolivian squirrel monkey)
Lineage: Eukaryota; Metazoa; Chordata; Mammalia; Primates; Cebidae
Description: lncRNA (ENSSBOG00000036434.1)
Source: RNAcentral